Molecule: long non-coding RNA, 5030 nt
Filed under: Sus scrofa (pig)
Lineage: Eukaryota; Metazoa; Chordata; Mammalia; Artiodactyla; Suidae
Description: lncRNA (ENSSSCG00025076834.1)
Source: RNAcentral
AGGUGCACUACAUCCUUCAGGAGGUGGUGAUGGGUGGAAUGGUGUUGGAAACAAACAUGAAUGAAAUCGUGGCUCAGAUUGAAGCUCAAAACAAGCUGGAGAAAUCGGAGGGUGGCCUUUCAGCAGCGCCUGCCCGGGCCGUGUCUGCUGUGAAGAAUAUCAACCUGCCAGAGAUGCCUCGGAACAUCAACAUUGGCGAUCUCAACAUCAAGGUCCCUAACCUGUCCCAGUUUGUCUGAGGGUGGAAGACAGCUGACCUGAGUCCUUGGAACCAGCAAGGCCAAGCCAGGCUGGCAACAGAACUCACCCUGCGCCCUGGAGGAGUCCGGCCUCGGGCCCUGGCCCCUGCUGUCCUGGAGCAGGGAGGAGUCCUGUGUCCACUGCCAGCCUGUGCUCUCUUCUCACAUGUGCAGCCUCACCUGCCUCUCAUACAUGCGGCCUCUCGGGUGUGAGGGGUCCUGGCUUCCUCAGUGGGGGUCAGGUGCCCAAGUCACUUGCCCCCUUACCUUCCACAUGCAACCACUCCCAGGCACUGGGGACUGGAGUGAGAGCCCCCCCACCCCAUUCCCAGAGCCCCACCACAAGGACAUUCUUUGAUUUGAGUGUUCAGCCCUAGCGCCCUGAGGUCCUGUAGCGCUGACUUUCCUGGUGAGGUGCCAGAGCUAGGAAAGGGCCGAUCCUCUAGAUUUGGGGAUGUGGUGAGUGGUAAACAGAGCCAUGAUUUUAUGAGAUCCAGAGUCGCCUACUGGCCCUCCUAGGGUUGUCACACCCAGAAUCCUUUUGUAUGGCCAUGCUUUCAGAACACCACCUCCCAUGGAACACCUUGCCCCACUGCCACAGUCCUGGCGCUGCUCUCAUAGCUGUUAGUGUGCAGGACACAAUCCAAAUCAUAAACUUGGUGCCUGCCCCCCACUCUUCUGCCAACAGGGAGACCACCCCCCACUGCAGCCAGAGGGGUCCUCCUCCCUGUGUCUGUAGAAGGCAAGUGGAACAUCUCAGAAUUACAACUCUUCCCAAGUAUAAAAUACAUAGUCCUCACGAGGAGCGGAUGCGUCAGUUGCUGUGUUAUGGAUGAGUCUUCUCUGUAUAGGAAGCCUGCUGCUGUCUAUACCAGCCUCUGGAGCACAAAUCUGAGCUCGGGUCACGUGUUCUGGACCUAGCACAGAGGAAGGCCGGGGAAAUGGGCAGUGUGCUGGCUGAGAUGGGUGGCAGUGUAGCAUCUUCUCCCCACUGAGCGAGGGGUCUAUCCCUGAGCACACAUAUGGGCCCCCCUGCUCCCCUCAAAUGACAGUCCCCUAGAGCUGGCUGUGGAAACCUGUAAGUGUUUAUGUAUAAUUAGAGUCUUUCUUCUUGUGGAUAACUUAGAGCUGAACUGCUCUUUGGGGUAGUGCCUCCCACUCCUGCACUGCCUCGGAGGCCAGGUCUCUGGUAUGGUGCUAAGCUGCCUUGAGAUUGGAGAGCAGCUUGAGAUUGGGGAGCUCCCUGCGCCAUCAUGUCAGGACUUCUUGUGCGUCCCAGCCGGUGGUCCAGGCUGUCCUCAGGCUUCCUGAUGGUAUCCCAGGGUCCAUCUGAGGUGGUGUGUGAGAGGACCAUGUGUCAGGACUACGUCUUUUCCUGCUUUGACACUGCUCCCUGUGGUUGGUGCCCUUUGCUACCUGUAGCCUCUUAUUCUCAUUCUUUCAGAACCUCUCUGAUAACCUUAGAGAUGGGCAGUGUUGGUCAGAAGGUAGGCCCUCCCAUGUUGGAAGAGGAAGUUGUAGGUAAAUAUAUCUGAUGUCAAAACCUCUGAUAUUAUUCUUUUAAAAGUUUAAUUUUUUUGGAGUUCCCAUCAUAGCACAGUGGAAAUGAAUCUGACUAGUAUCUGUGAGGAUGCAGGUUUGAUCCCUGACCUUGAUCAGUGGGUUAGGGAUCCAACGUUGCUGUGAGCUGUGUGUAGGUUGCAGACACAGCUCAUAUCUGGCAUUGCUGUGGUAUAGGUCUGCAGAUACUGGGACCCUCCAUAUGCCAUGGGUGUGGCCUUAAAAGACCAAAAAAAUAUAUAUAUAUAUGAUUUUUUUUAAACAGUCAUUUUCUCACAUUCACAUCCCUUUCUCUCACAUUAGUUGAAAGUGAAAUAGGAACUAAGGAAGGGAAACAGUAUUUAUUUUGCACCUACUGUAAGGUAGCUUCAGCAAGAUCUUUGCACAAACCUCACAACAGACAUUGUUAUCUCCAUUUUGCUAGUCAAGAAAGUAAGAGAGGUCAAGUAACCUGUUUUAGGUCACACAGGGCUAAGCAUUGAGACUAUGCCCAAAUCCCCUGUCCUUUUGUUUUUCAUUGCUCAUGAUGGCUUCUCCCAAUUUAAACUUUCUUAUGGAUAAGGAAGCUUCAAAGAUGUUGGUUAGCUUCUCACAAACUGUGAUAAAAAAUAGGCUUGGUUUUCUACGAUGUCAGUGACAGCAUCAUGGAGUGUAUCAUAGAGUGUAUCAGCGACAACAUGGUAGAGUGUAGGAGCUGGAGGGUACUUCACAUCCCUCCACUGAAGUGGUGAGGACAUGGAAGCCCAAAAGGUUAAGUGUUGCGUUGAGGGUCACAGAGCUAGAACCCAGUCGUUUUUCUUGAGUUUGUUUUACGGUUUAUUGUAUUCUUGCAGGACAGCCACCUGUCCUGGAUUUUCUGGGAUAGUCUUAGAAUGUUUUGCCUGCCAGAAACCAAUGAUUCCCCAAACCCACUUACUGGUCCUGUAGACUCCCAACAGUGGGCAUCUCAACAUCAUCCCUCUACUGCCUCUAAAAAUGACAUACAACUUGAGCCUGGUCUUCUGUGUGGUCUACUUGAACCCCUUGGACAAGCCAUAGCAAUUGUACAUUAAGUACUUGUGGUUGCUGGCAAAUCCAGGUAGUUUUCUUGCCUGCUAUCAACAAAGCCAUAAACCUUUUUUUUUUUUUUUUUUUUUUAAGAGGGAUACAAAUAUUGCUGCUGAGAGAGAUGGGUGUGAAUAUGGGAGUCCUUGGCCCUGGGUGAUUUACAACGAGGAUUUCCUAAAGUAGAACGGAAUACUGGGUUUUCAGUACUCACUGCCACUAAUUAAAAUCUAAUAUUCCUCAAUUAUGCAGUUUCUAAGUGCCUGGUGAAUGCCAGGCUCGGUUCUAGGCUCUGAAUAUUGAGAGAGAGAGAAAUGAGACUGCUUCCUACUCUUCUCUCUGCUGAGGAUCUCUGUGUGCUCAUCUUGAGUCUGACUGGCAUCUUGAAUUUGUGGAGACCAGUGACUUUGUGUUCAUGGACUAUUUAAAGGACAGCAGCCCGACUUCCAGCCCCAGCUGACCCCAUUAUGCCCUGCUGUCCAUGCUCCAAUCUGUCUUCAAGCUACUGUAACAAAAGUACCAUAGACUGGGCAGCUUAAAUAACAAAUUUUUUUUUUUUUUCCUUUUCAGCCAUACCUACGGCACGAUGUUCCCAGGCCAGGGGUUGAAUUGGAGCUGCAGCUGCAGCCAUACCACAGCCACAGCAACACUGGGUCCUUAACCCUAAGCCACAAGGGGAACUCCUUAAAUAACAAACAUUUCUCACAGUUCUUCAAACUGAUCAAGAUCAAGGUGCCUGCAGAUUUGGUGUAUAGUGUGGACCCACCUCCUGUCUCAUUGAGGACCGUCCUCUUGCUCUGUGCUCACAUGGUGAGGAGAAAGCUCUAGACUCUUCAUCCCCUUAGCAUCAACCCACCGUGGGGGCCCCACCCAUAUGACUGCAUCCAAACCUAACUACCUCCCAAAGGCCCUGUCACCAAACAGCAUCCCACUCGGACUUGGAUGUCAGUGUAUAAGUUUGGGGAAAGACACAUUCAGUCUAUACAGUACCUGAUUACCCACCUUCCUUCUAGGCCUGGUCCUGGCCCUGUGCUUGUCACAUAGAGGACAUUCAAGAUGUCUCAAGUCUUAAGUCCCUGUUAUUCAGGCCUCUGCCACUUCUAGAGCUGGCCUUUCCUUCUUACACAUCUACUUUUAAGGAGCCAGCCUAGUGAAGCCCUGCCUGGGCCCAGCUUCAGAAAAAAAAACCAGAGAAGUGUGACUCAAACCAGGCUGAUGGCUAAAUCCUGUCUUGUGGGCAGAAUUUCCUUAGUGUGGGCCUUGGGUUUCCAAAUAGGAUGCAUUAGUGAUUUGGCGCCUGAAGAUAAAGACCAGGAGUGAUUAUGACGACCAGUGAGGGCCAUUUAGGUGUGAGAGAGACCUGGGGAAAGGGGUGAUGUCGGCUCCUAGCAGACAUCUUGGUCUUCGGCUUCCCAAGUCCUCUGCUCUUCCACCAAGAGGGUGCCCAUCUCACUGUAGUUGUUGUGAGCCUGGGGUCCACAGACUUGCAGACACCAGCAUGUGGCCAGUGUCCAUAGGGUGCCGGAUGGCUGAUAGGGUUUAAAUGUCACCCACUGGGAAACUCUGGAGGCUCCCACAUCUACAAAUGCAGUUGGCAGCAGUUGGCAGAUAGGCAGACAGGGCCUCCUUUAACGAAAUAGUUCCAUGGAAAUGAUUACUCUUUCCCAAAAGAUUGUGUAAGUUCUUUCCUAUUAAAAUGAAUUAAUGCUUAGAAAAGGAAAUACAUUCAAACAGUUCAAAGUUUAAGAGAACAAAAAAGUUCAGCCAGACUCCCACCCUGUUCCCCCAAACCACCAAGCCCCCUACUAGAUCCUUGGUAGAAACAAGUGUUUCCAAUUUAACAUAAACAAAGCCCAUAGAUUUUUAUUACCAAAACCGAGAGUAUACUUCCUAAGAGUUCUGUUCCAUUUGACUUUGCUGGUUGACCUCAACCCACUACAACCAUGCUGUCCUCGUAGGGAGGAGGGGCUUCCCAGAUGAGCCCCUACAAAGUGAGCAUGCCCUGUCCUUGCUCUGUUUUCUGUAACACUCUGACCUGCCAUGUGUCUGGGUUGUGGUCAUUGUCUUCCCUACCAGGAUGUACACCCCUCAAAGGGCUGGCGUUUUCGCUCUUAUUCAUUGCUGAGUCCCCACUGUUAUGAACAGUGCCUGGUACAUACAGCUCAGUAAAUAACCCUUGAAUGAGUG